CGGCUUUUAAUAUUUUGGUUUGAUUUUUCCAUUUUGGUGAAAAAAAUUGUCCAGCCCUAUCUGCUCGCCCCGGGGCCCGGGCAAACACUCCCAGCCUGCCGCUCCCCACAUUCCCGUUCCGCUCACAGCGGAAAAGGAAGCCGGCUAGGGUUUCAUCUUCCUUUCCCCUCCUCUCUUUCAUCGACGACCGCUGGCCACCCCCUCGAUCUCUUGACCCGGAGGCGAGGACGGGGGCCAGCAGCGGCCGCCAGCGCCUGCCCGUCUUGUUAUAGGGAGCGUUCGCCAUGUCUGAAAUGGAGUCUGUCGCGGCUCUUAUGGACUCGACAAGCUCCAAGAUACAACAGCUUCAGGAGGCAUUCGCUGAGCUUGAGAGCCAGAGCGCUUUCUGCAUGAACUUCAAGUGGAAGCAGCUUGAAGACCACUUUCGUGGUCUUGAACAAUCCCUCAAGAAAAAGUUUGACGAGCUAAAAGAGCAGGAGAAGGAGUUCCAGGAGACUGUCGCAAAAUCAGAGCAGAUGCUGGAGCAGCGGGAGGCAGCUGUUGUGGCCAAGGAACUGACCUCUUUGGAGAGGUUGCAGGAGAAGAGGGAAGCUGCAUUAGCUAUGAUCUUUAGCAAGUCCAGGCUUUCCUUACCUGUUCCUUCCAUCAACCCAAUGAACAAGGCACUGGAUAAUCUUGGUGUCAAGUGGCCUAAACCGGCUUCUGAGGAGAGUGUGCACUUGCAAGUUGAUAAUGCUGCAGUGAGGCCUCGUUCUGAGCUUGUUGCACUCUGUGAGGAAAUGAAUGUGAACGGGCUUCAUAAGUUCAUAUCCGACAACAGGAAGAACUUGGCAGCCAUCCGCGAGGAAAUUCCUAGUGCACUGAAGAAAACAUCUCAUCCUUAUGGCCUGGUGUUGGAUUCCCUGGAAGACUUUUAUUCUGGAGAUAAUCUUGUAUUAGAUGGAAAAAAGGAUGGUGACCUUCUGGGUGUUAGAAGGACAUGUUUGAUGUUGAUGGAGUCACUUGGACAACUGCACUCUAAUGAUAUAACUUGUUCUUCUUUGGAGAGGCACAUGCUUACAACUAAUAUCAUAGAGCGAGCAAAGACGAUUGCAUUUAAGUGGAAGUCCAAGUUAGAUAAUCUUGACAUUGAUGCUAGCAAUGGGAACUGUCUUGAAGCUCAUGCGUUUCUUCAACUCCUGGCAACCUUUGGUAUUUCUGCUGAAUUCAAUGAAGAUGACUUGUGCAAAUUGCUUCCAUAUGUCAGUCGUCGUCGUCAGACACCUGAACUUUGUCGAUUGCUUGGGUUGUCGCAGAAAAUGCCAGGUGUCAUUGAAGUUCUGGUGGAAAGUGGAAGACCUAUUGAUGCAAUUAAUUUGGCUUAUGUGUUUGAGCUUACUGAACAAUUUGAACCAGUACACCUUCUUAAAGCAUAUCUAAGGGAUGUUAAGAAAAUGUCACACGCCAGGAAUGUCAAAACUUCUCCUGGAGCACAGAUGAAUCCAUGUUUCUUACUUGGAAACCCCGAACAAACACCACUAGCACGAGGCGCUCGCGUUGGCGUCGCUCACCGACGACGAGAAGAAACUUAGCGACUGCCAGUUCGAACUCUGGAAGCAGUCCUACAUGGCCCAUGCGCCGCUGUGUACGGCAAGCUCCGGCGCAGCCGCCGCUUGGACGUGGUCCAGAGCGGCUGCACCGCGCUGUCCAUCGUCAAACAUGGGGACCUCAUGGUCGUCGCCAAUGUCGACGACUCUCGGGUUGUUCUGGGCAUCGCAACCUACGACGACGCCAUCACGCCGUCUAGCUCAUCAUCCACCUGAAGCCUAACCUGCCACGUAAGUCGCUACUGACCGACCAUGAAUUCUUGUGCGCUGGAAUGAUGACCAUUGUUGUUGUUGUGUGAGUGUCCUCGAACAAGAUGUAUGUAGAGGAGUAGCACAUCCGGUGGUGCAACGACCAGGUGUACUACCUCGCUGAUGAGCCCGGGUGCACUUCAUUUGGCAGUCCAGCCAAGAGUGAUCGGUACUCACCAUAUCGCGCGCGUUCGACGACUAUUAUAUCAAGGAUUGUGGCGUCAUCUCGACACCGGAGAAUGAGAUGAAUGAACGUGAGUUAUCUGCGCUGAAAUCUGUCAUUAAGUGCAUUGAAGAGCACAAACUUGAGCAGCAGUACCCUGUGGAUCCACUUCAGAAAAGGGUUUUGCAGCUAGAGAAAGCAAAGGCAGACAAGAGGAUGGCUGUUGAAGCAGCAAAGCCGCAGUCCAAGAGGCCUCGUGCCAAUGGAUCGGCCUUUGCAACCCGUGCUACAGGCUUUGCUGACAAGAGCUUCUACUCAGCAACCCCAGAGAGGCAUCCAUUCAAUCCUUGCGAGAGGCAGUUUGUGUAUGGCGCUGAGGUUCAUCUUCCUCCCAUGAUGACCUCAGCGUCUUACACGAUGCAACCUGCCCAUGGACCUUAUUACGGUAAUGGCUACCCAGUUCAGUACCAGGUCUCGUAUAUCCACUAAUGGAGACAGCCAGGUGCAGGUGCUCUUUCCUAACAAUCUAGCUUAACCUGCUGCUCUUUGCUGUAGUCGUAUCAGUUACUCUGCAAGUUUCCCUAGCUGGAAAUAUUUGGACCACUCAAUGUGUGUGCUCUGAGUGGCUGUUGUGGUAAUUUUAUGCCCUAAUGACAUGACAUAAAUUACUCCUAAUAUUUAGCUAUCGAUGAAUCUCCCAAUGUACUUCAUUCGGCUUGUGAAAUGCCUGUCACUGAAGAAGCGCCCAGGGGCAUGAAAAUAUCAUGUCGUCAUGGACGCCUGCCAAACUGUCAGUUGCAUCCUGACUGGUUGUUGUUUUUAGUUUGGUGUAUCUUUUAUGCCCAAGUAUAUUUGCUGAGUUAUCAUCUUCAGUUUGCCGAUUCUAAUUGGUUUGUACUC
Zea mays is the source of this 2898-nucleotide RNA transcript. It is a transcript of the gene named FRIGIDA-like protein 3, with no coding region annotated. The record is from RefSeq and is a predicted model, not a curated record. The transcript has 5 exons. NCBI's taxonomy places the organism in Eukaryota, Viridiplantae, Streptophyta, Magnoliopsida, Poales, Poaceae.